GGGCCCGCACAAGCGGCGGAGCAUGUGGAUUAAUUCGAUGCAACGCGAAGAACCUUACCUGGGCUUGACAUACACCGGAUCGCUGCAGAGAUGUAGCUUCCCUUGUGGUCGGUGUACAGGUGGUGCAUGGUUGUCGUCAGCUCGUGUCGUGAGAUGUUGGGUUAAGUCCCGUAACGAGCGCAACCCUUGUCUUAUGUUGCCAGCACGUGAUGGUGGGGACUCAUGAGAGACUGCCGGGGUCAACUCGGAGGAAGGUGGGGAUGACGUCAAAUCAUCAUGCCCCUUAUGUCCAGGGCUUCACACAUGCUACAAUGGUCGGUACAGCAGGUUGCCAGCUCGUAAGAGUGCGCUAAUCCUCUAAAGCCGGCCUCAGUUCGGAUUGGGGUCUGCAACUCGACCCCAUGAAGUCGGAGUCGCUAGUAAUCGCAGAUCAGCAACGCUGCGGUGAAUACGUUCCCGGGCCUU
This 465-nucleotide ribosomal RNA is filed under the name uncultured bacterium. Its description in RNAcentral is "bacterial SSU rRNA". It matches the Rfam family "Bacterial small subunit ribosomal RNA", at positions 917 to 1382 of the family's 1533-position model. The record is from RNAcentral.